RNAcentral lists this non-coding RNA (30 nucleotides) under Mus musculus (house mouse). The record is from RNAcentral. Lineage: Eukaryota; Metazoa; Chordata; Mammalia; Rodentia; Muridae.
CGACAGUACAAAUAGAAAUGCCUCCUCUGC